UCNCUUAGAUUUCAAAGGGUGCUGCAGUC
This 29-nucleotide non-coding RNA is filed under the name Mus musculus (house mouse). Lineage: Eukaryota; Metazoa; Chordata; Mammalia; Rodentia; Muridae. The record is from RNAcentral.